Molecule: unclassified non-coding RNA, 878 nt
Filed under: Hevea brasiliensis (rubber tree)
Lineage: Eukaryota; Viridiplantae; Streptophyta; Magnoliopsida; Malpighiales; Euphorbiaceae
Source: RNAcentral
AAAUCCGUGUUCUCGCAUCAGACUGAGAAAAACAUGAACAGAAUAAUCAUUCAGAUCAACCAAUUCGUGCUAUUUUCAAGACCCGCAAUGUACAAUUUGGAGGAUAAGGGCCAUCACUAGUCUAAUCCAUACUUUUAUACAAGCAGCAAAAAAAGACAACUAAAAAGGUCACACCCUCUGAUUAAUGCCAAAUGACAGAGAAAGAUAAUCCAACAGGUCCUGGAUGAAGAAUAAACCACCGCAAAGCCUGAAAACCACCUUUUCCCGCAGUAGAACAAAAGGUGAAAACCUGAUUAUUUAAAAUUGAGUACAUUCUGCCCCAUCCAAAUGUCCCAACUAUUUUGAUAUCCUUUCUACCAUCAAGCACUAAAAUUUGAUCAUCAAUUAAGGGGAAGACAUAGCAAUAGCACACUCAUGAAAACAAGAAAUACUUGGGAAAUGCAGAUUACUUCUGCAAUCUGCAUCCUUUUAUCCCUAAACAGAGUAAAUGUAUAGGUAUAUUAAUUAAUGAAGUAUGCAUUAUGUAUGUAUCAGUGAUAUGCAGAUCAUAUAGGAGUAUAACUUAAAAUCACAUGACUAAAUGACCUAAAAUGCAGAUUCUAGUUGUCCUUCACUGCAUCAUGGAGCAAAUACAUUGAGCGAGCAAGGCUGCACAACUACUCCAUCUAAUUUCACUUUACCUUUAUCUUUUCCUCUCCCCUGCCUUACCUCAAAAAUUCCUAAAAUGUAACCAACUUGCUAGUUAAUAAUAAUGAAAGAUACUAUCCUUUAACAAUAACAACUGUGGUUAACAGUAAAUGCCAGUUAGAAAACAACUGAUAUAUGGUCAUGGUGAUCACUUUACCAUAUGACUAUUUAGGCAUCCAAGUAGAUCUAUU